This 1149-nucleotide long non-coding RNA is filed under the name Vulpes vulpes (red fox). RNAcentral's name for it is "lncRNA (ENSVVUG00000022677.1)". Lineage: Eukaryota; Metazoa; Chordata; Mammalia; Carnivora; Canidae. The record is from RNAcentral.
AUGAAUCAUGGCCGUUUGCAGGCAGUGAGCCUGUCCCCCUCUCCUGUCUCCGGGUCUCUUCCUUACCCCCAUGACACCACCCCCCCCAGGAGGCAGCAGGCAGAAGCAUUGAGCCCUACUCGUUGGGAGCUGGGCACCAUCGUUGCCAGAAGGAAACACUUGCCGAACCGAAAACCAACCACAGCUCUAGGCCCCUCGGAGAACUGGGGUCACAGAACUGACAGCGCCCAAUCCCGCGAGCGAGGUGCACCCCGCGACGAGCCCCGAAAGCCCCUUUCCUGCAGCAGAAGCUGGCGGAGCCUGAGGCCGGGAGCAGCCCUCAGGUGCAAUUGUGCCCAAGAGCCGGAGGGGGCUGUGAACGGCAGUGCCCGGGAGUCCCCCGCGCCAGGAGCCCACGACCAGCCUCGGCCACUUGGCCACCAAGGCCUUUCUUCAUCUUUCGAAAGGACAACAGCCGCGAGGGCCACGGAACACACCCUCCGUCCUGGGAGCGAGGCCUGGGCAAGACGCGAGCCGAAACCGGACGCACAAACCAGCUCGCUCGGGGACGGGACACCUAAGGGCACUAGAGCUACAGCUGACAUCCCCCAGAGUCCUGGUCCCAGGGCCUGGCACGCGAAGCCUCACGCUCAGGGCCCGUCUCCCCCACGGCCUAUUAACGCCCACCGCGGGCCGCCGUCAGCCGGAAGACCAGGCGAGCCCAGAGCCCAGGAAACAGCUUCCAGAGGCCAAGGCAGCGGGAGGACAAGACCCCUGCAACAGAGACGUCCCCGUCACGGGCCCAGGGACGGGAAGGGACCAGGAUCGGGACCCGCAGGGCGCCACAGAGAAGAAAGCAGACGACGCGGGAGAACCCGUGUACCGGGGUGUGCAGACGGGGGUCUGCGAGUCACAGCGAGGUCUGGGGCUCACGACCACCGAGGCGGACACGGGCAGCGCUGCCGACGGCGCCUCAGUGGACUCACAGCCCCGGGGACCCGGGGAGCCCGGAGCCCCCGCACGAGCCAUCUCCCCAGGGCGACGCCAAGACGAGGUGAGAACACAGACCGCCCCUCGCGUGCGGGCCUGCUCCUGAGCAACACGCGGCGUUGCAAGGCCCGGGAGGAGCGGAGAAGGGCCCAGGGCCCCUGGAGCCGAGCGGCACGUUAA